CAGUCUGCAACUCGACUGCGUGAAGGUGGAGUCGCUAGUAAUCGCGGAUCAGCAACGCCGCGGUGAAUGCGUUCCCGGGCCUUGUACACACCGCCCGUCAAGUCAUGAAAGUGGGCAGCACCCGAAGACGGUGGCCUAACCCUUGUGGGGGAGCCGUCUAAGGUGAGGCUCGUGAUUGGGACUAAGUCGUAACAAGGUAUC
RNAcentral lists this ribosomal RNA (201 nucleotides) under uncultured bacterium. Its description in RNAcentral is "partial 16S ribosomal RNA". It matches the Rfam family "Bacterial small subunit ribosomal RNA", at positions 1301 to 1500 of the family's 1533-position model. The record is from RNAcentral.